AACGAACGCUGGCGGCAUGCCUAACACAUGCAAGUCGAACGAGACCUUCGGGUCUAGUGGCGCACGGGUGCGUAACGCGUGGGAACCUGCCCUUAGGUUCGGAAUAACUCCCCGAAAGGGGUGCUAAUACCGGAUAAUGUCUUCGGACCAAAGAUUUAUCGCCUUUGGAUGGGCCCGCGUUGGAUUAGCUAGUUGGUAGGGUAAAAGCCUACCAAGUCGACGAUCCAUAGCUGGUCUGAGAGGAUGAUCAGCCACACUGGGACUGAGACACGGCCCAGACUCCUACGGGAAGCAGCAGUGGGGAAUAUUGGACAAUGGGCGAAAGCCUGAUCCAGCAAUGCCGCGUGAGUGAUGAAGGCCUUAGGGUUGUAAAGCUCUUUUACCCGGGAUGAUAAUGACAGUACCGGGAGAAUAAGCUCCGGCUAACUCCGUG
RNAcentral lists this ribosomal RNA (433 nucleotides) under uncultured bacterium. RNAcentral describes it as "partial 16S ribosomal RNA". It matches the Rfam family "Bacterial small subunit ribosomal RNA", at positions 29 to 507 of the family's 1533-position model. The record is from RNAcentral.